UAGAGUUUGAUCAUGGCUCAGAUUGAACGCUGGCGGCAUGCCUUACACAUGCAAGUCGAACGGCAGCACGGAGCUUGCUYUGGUGGCGAGUGGCGAACGGGUGAGUAAUAUAUCGGAACGUACCCUCGAGCGGGGGAUAACUAGUCGAAAGAUUAGCUAAUACCGCAUACGAUCUACGGAGGAAAGCAGGGGAUUCGCAAGAACCUUGUGCUCGUGGAGCGGCCGAUAUCUGAUUAGCUAGUUGGUAGGGUAAAAGCCUACCAAGGCUUCGAUCAGUAGCUGGUCUGAGAGGACGACCAGCCACACUGGGACUGAGACACGGCCCAGACUCCUACGGGAGGCAGCAGUGGGGAAUUUUGGACRAUGGGGGCAACCCUGAUCCAGCCAUUCCGCGUGAGUGAAGAAGGCCUUCGGGUUGUAAAGCUCUUUUGUCCGGAGCGAAACGGUUAGCGUGAAUAUCGCUGACUACUGACGGUACCGGAAGAAUAAGCACCGGCUAACUACGUGCCAGCAGCCGCGGKAAUAC
This 526-nucleotide ribosomal RNA is filed under the name uncultured Janthinobacterium sp. RNAcentral's name for it is "bacterial SSU rRNA". It matches the Rfam family "Bacterial small subunit ribosomal RNA", at positions 1 to 526 of the family's 1533-position model. Lineage: Bacteria; Pseudomonadati; Pseudomonadota; Betaproteobacteria; Burkholderiales; Oxalobacteraceae. The record is from RNAcentral.